GGGUCAGUAGGUUGGUCGUGCCACCGGUACGUACUGGUCUCACUGAUUCCUCCUUCCUGAAGAACCGUAAUGCCAUUAAUUUGGUGUUGCGGGGAGACGGGACUGUUACUUUGAAAAAAUUAGAGUGUUUAGAGCAAGCUAACGCUUGAAUACAUUAGCAUGGAAUAAUGAAAUAGGACGAUCGAUCCUAUUUUGUUGGUUUCUAGGAUUGACGUA
RNAcentral lists this ribosomal RNA (216 nucleotides) under Glomeromycotina sp. Its description in RNAcentral is "partial small subunit ribosomal RNA". The stretch from base 40 to 216 matches the Rfam family "Eukaryotic small subunit ribosomal RNA", at positions 686 to 864 of the family's 1831-position model. Lineage: Eukaryota; Fungi; Glomeromycota. The record is from RNAcentral.